UGAGUGAUGAAUUUAAAAGAGUACUUACUGAGCUUGACUCCCAUUUGUCCACAAUGACAAUAAUAACUGAAACCGAGGGAGGGAGAUUUUCUGAGAUAGAGGAACAACUCAAACAUGCUGAGAGAAAGAUUAUUCGUUGGGAGUCAGAUCCAUGUCUGAUAUGGGAUUCUGGCCCCAUGGAAGCCACUGAGUAUUUACAAGCUGUCAACGAGAUUCUAAUAGUGAUAGAAAGUCUGGGUGGUCUGUCCUUGAGCGAGAAUGGGAAGCCAAAGGAGAUUGCUUUACGAGCUCAGAAUGCACUGCAGAGAGCAAUGUCAAGACUUGAGGAAGAGCUGUGCCACAUUCUUUUUCAACAUAAGCAAUAUUUUAAGCCGCAAUAUGUUUUGCUUCAUUCACG
Molecule: unclassified non-coding RNA, 397 nt
Filed under: Hevea brasiliensis (rubber tree)
Lineage: Eukaryota; Viridiplantae; Streptophyta; Magnoliopsida; Malpighiales; Euphorbiaceae
Source: RNAcentral